RNAcentral lists this unclassified non-coding RNA (345 nucleotides) under soil metagenome. Its description in RNAcentral is "partial contains 5.8S ribosomal RNA, internal transcribed spacer 2, and large subunit ribosomal RNA". The stretch from base 1 to 119 matches the Rfam family "5.8S ribosomal RNA", at positions 35 to 154 of the family's 154-position model. The record is from RNAcentral.
GAUGAAGAACGUAGCGAAAUGCGAUACGUAAUGUGAAUUGCAAAUUCAGUGAAUCAUCGAGUCUUUGAACGCACAUUGCGCCCCCUGGUAUUCCGGGGGGCAUGCCUGUCCGAGCGUCAUUGCUGCCCUCAAGCACGGCUUGUGUGUUGGGCCCCGUCCUCCGAUCCCGGGGGACGGGCCCGAAAGGCAGCGGCGGCACCGCGUCCGGUCCUCGAGCGUGUGGGGCUUUGUCACCCGCUCUGUAGGCCCGGCCGGCGCUUGCCGAUCAACCCAAAUUUUUAUCCAGGUUGACCUCGGAUCAGGUAGGGAUACCCGCUGAACUUAAGCAUAUCAAUAAGCGGAGGA